UUCAUUUAGUCCAAAAAAAGACGUUGAAAACUGGUCUUUGUUUGGUCCGUCUAAUUCAGUCCAAAUUUAGCCUAAAAUUAGACGUCUUUUUCGGACCACUUUUCAACGUGUCUCCAUUCAAUAAUAAUCCUGACAAAAUAUGCAUGAAUGUAUAAAUACUGAGCACAUUGAACGAUAAUGAAACAUAUGCUUUGUUUAAAGUCUAUUAAUAUUUCUGUUUAUUUUAAUUAAAUAAAUAUGUUAAAUGUGCUCUAAACAGGUCAUUUCGGUCCUGUACAGCACUGAUAGAAGCACUUCAUUUUCAUCUUUUAACAAAUAUCUUUAUUUUCUUUUAAUAUGAUAUUAUUGGCAGAGGCGCGCGUCCGUCUCAUGCUUUGUGAUCACGUGAUUAUUCAACGGGGAGACGCGCGUUCUGGAUUUACCGAGUUUCUCCUCAGACAAGUGUUUCUGUUUUGUGGUCGAUUCUGGGUAAUGUUAGCUCGAGCGCUGUCAGCUUGACUGAGCUCGUCGCGCAGGUGACGAGCAGGUCAGUUAAUGGAAAUCUUUUAUUUGUCUUUAUAUCUUCUAUAUAAUCGUGUUAUGCUUGUUUUUAAAUGUAUUUUAAAUUGUUUAGUUAAUUAUAAUGCAAGUUUACUCCAAGUAUUGUAGUGUGGGCUUUUUUCAGCUUACGGCUAGCCUGAUUGAGCUCGUGGCACAGCUGUGAGCUAGCAGUUAACAUCCUUUUCUUGGUGUGUCUUGAUGUUUUCUAUUGGCUAAAGACAAUAAAAGCAUAGAGAUAUAUAAACCAAAGACAACUAUAAGAUAAUCCUUCAGGAGCCAGUAAAACAUCUACAGUUACAGCAGUAAACAUACUUGUUUUGGGUGCAAAUAAGGAGACUUACACAUGUCUCUGUGAAAUUGACAAUCUCAGGUAGGAGCUGCUGGUUUGUGGUUGGCAGUAUGGAUCACGGUCUGCGACUCAUGAGGAGCUGGUCUGGAGACAUGAAGAGGUUGUCAACAGAGGUCUGAAGCUAAUACCUGCCAUGGUCUGAUUGGUAUUUCAUGAGGAAUCAUGGGUUCCUUGGUAUUUGAAUUAUGUUGAACCAGGCAAGUACUCCAUCUUUCGAUCAUGUGUUCUGUCUGCUUACACAUUCCUAGCCAGAAUAACAUUUCGUGCUCUUAGCUUAGACUUCUCAGCGUGUGCGCAUAUCUCAGGUCAGAUAUGACUAUUUUCUAAUCUUCACUGGUCAAUGAAAGUUUGUCUUAAAAGUCAAUAAUGUAUGUGGGAAAUUGUCUCCUCUUUGCAGGCCAUCCAUCCAAGAUCAUCUAUCUGAGCUGCUGAAAACUGCCUCGGUACGGAUCUGUUGGAGCUUUGUGUCACUGACUGAAUUUCUGCAAAUUCCUGUUCCGUGUCAUAUUGCUUAUGCAAGACUGAAUCCAUAAAGGUGAUGUUCUGUGGAGACUGUGGGCGAUUCCUUCUGCUGUCAUUUAAACAUGAGCAGGAGUAAUGACGGGUUUAAAUGGACGCAACUAAUAUUAUGCCAGAGUCCGCUGCUUAUGCUGUAACCAUAAAGCAACCAGGACAACACACCUGGAGUGACCGAGAGCAGGAUGAAGGAGGAAUCGGAUGAGAAAAUGUCAACUGGUGCCCAUGAGGAGACAUAUUGUUCUUGGACCUGCUUUUUAUGUUUAGUAAUAAGUGGUUUUAUGUGGUUAAAAAAAAGUAAUUUAAUAUUAAUACUUAAUAUUUUAAUAUUCACUCCAAAAUGGUCUAGUAUUGUCACUUAACUUAUGCUGCUUGACUUCUCAGCAUAAAGAUCAUUAUUAAAUUAAUAUUAAAUAUUUCAAAUUUAGAAAUAGGCUACCCCAUGCCAUCUAAUAAAGAAGUGGGUACUCCGUGCGUGUCGUGUACCCAGCACUACACCAUAUGGCAUCAUUGAUGUCUGUUGUAAGUAGAUAUAUAACUGUUAUUAAAUAAUUAUAUUGUAUUUCUUUCUAUUUAAGUCCAAGUUCAAAAUAAAACUCUAUAAACCUCUCCAUUGUGAAAUGGUUUAUAUACAUUCACGGUUUAUAGAGUUUUAUUUUGAACUUGGACAUAAAUACGAAAAAAUAUAAUAUAAUUAUUUAAUAAAAAGUUAUACUAACAGCGGACAUCAAUGAUGCCAUAUGGCCCGGCAUUGAAUUGACCCCUCAGAUCUGAUUUGUGCAUUUUUGUAUUCAUGGUUAAAAUGUUCAACUUUUUGAUUGUAAUAAUAAUUUAACCUUAUCCCCAUAUGGGAUUUAAAAUGUUCAGUGACAUUACUGUCAGAUUCAAACGUCUUUCGCGCUGAGCCAGACGGACGAGCUCAGCGCUGUCAUAUAGCAACAUGCAG
Molecule: non-coding RNA, 2351 nt
Organism: Misgurnus anguillicaudatus (oriental weatherfish)
Lineage: Eukaryota; Metazoa; Chordata; Actinopteri; Cypriniformes; Cobitidae
Source: RefSeq, a predicted model, not a curated record